Molecule: ribosomal RNA, 515 nt
Filed under: uncultured Staphylococcus sp.
Lineage: Bacteria; Bacillati; Bacillota; Bacilli; Caryophanales; Staphylococcaceae
Description: bacterial SSU rRNA
Rfam family: Bacterial small subunit ribosomal RNA
Source: RNAcentral
GAUGAACGCUGGCGGCGUGCCUAAUACAUGCAAGUCGAGCGAACAGACGAGGAGCUUGCUCCUCUGACGUUAGCGGCGGACGGGUGAGUAACACGUGGAUAACCUACCUAUAAGACUGGGAUAACUUCGGGAAACCGGAGCUAAUACCGGAUAAUAUAUUGAACCGCAUGGUUCAAUAGUGAAAGACGGUUUUGCUGUCACUUAUAGAUGGAUCCGCGCCGCAUUAGCUAGUUGGUAAGGUAAAGGCUUACCAAGGCAACGAUGCGUAGCCGACCUGAGAGGGUGAUCGGCCACACUGGAACUGAGACACGGUCCAGACUCCUACGGGAGGCAGCAGUAGGGAAUCUUCCGCAAUGGGCGAAAGCCUGACGGAGCAACGCCGCGUGAGUGAUGAAGGUCUUCGGAUCGUAAAACUCUGUUAUUAGGGAAGAACAAAUGUGUAAGUAACUAUGCACGUCUUGACGGUACCUAAUCAGAAAGCCACGGCUAACUACGUGCCAGCAGCCGCGGUAAUA